Molecule: long non-coding RNA, 680 nt
Filed under: Homo sapiens (human)
Lineage: Eukaryota; Metazoa; Chordata; Mammalia; Primates; Hominidae
Description: non-protein coding lnc-MAP9-9:1
Source: RNAcentral
AUGAAAGAAAAUCUAUUUACCCCUUUUACUACCCCGACAAUUCUAGGCCUACCCGCAGUAGUAUUAAUCAUUUUAUUUCCCACCAAACUACUUCCAACCUCCAGUCAUCUAAUUAGUAACCAACUGAUUUCCAUUCAACGGUGACUAAUUCAACUUGUACUAAAACAAAUAAUAUUACCCAUAACAUUAAAGGACAAACCUGAUCCCUUAUACUGAUCUUCCUAAUUCUCUUCAUUGCCUCAACCAAUCUCCUUGGGCCUCUACCCCAUUAAUUUACACCAACUACCCAAUUAUCAAUAAAUCUAGGUAUAGCAAUCCCCUUAUGAGCAGGUGCAGUAAUUAUAGGCUUCUGCUUUAAGACUAAAACCUCUUUAGCUCACUUUUUACCACAAGGCACACCUAUACCAUUUAUCUCUAUGCUAGUGAUCAUUGAAACUAUUAGCCUAUUCAUUCAACCAAUGGCAUUAGCUGUGCGAUUAACAGCCAGCCUUACAGCCAGACACCUACUAAUGCAUUUAUAUCAGAGGAGCCACACUAGUACUAUCGACUAUCAGUCUUCCCACAGCUUCAAUGGCCUUCUUUAUUCUAAUCCUACUGAGCAUCCUUGAAUUCGCCGUAGCCCUUAUUCAGGCCUAUGUCUUUGCACUACUUGUAAGCCUUUACCUAUACGACAACACGUA